RNAcentral lists this ribosomal RNA (253 nucleotides) under uncultured bacterium. RNAcentral's name for it is "partial 16S ribosomal RNA". It matches the Rfam family "Bacterial small subunit ribosomal RNA", at positions 524 to 776 of the family's 1533-position model. The record is from RNAcentral.
UACGUAGGGGGCUAGCGUUGUCCGGAAUCAUUGGGCGUAAAGCGCGUGUAGGCGGUCCGGUAAGUCCGCUGUGAAAGUCGAGGGCUCAACCCUCGAAUGCCGGUGGAUACUGUCGGGCUAGAGUGCGGAAGAGGCGAGUGGAAUUCCUGGUGUAGCGGUGAAAUGCGCAGAUAUCAGGAGGAACACCUAUUGCGAAGGCAGCUCGCUGGGACGUUACUGACGCUGAGGAGCGAAAGCGUGGGGAGCGAACAGG